This is a non-coding RNA of Pangasianodon gigas (Mekong giant catfish), 73 nucleotides long. NCBI's taxonomy places the organism in Eukaryota, Metazoa, Chordata, Actinopteri, Siluriformes, Pangasiidae. The record is from the annotation of a GenBank genome assembly.
GCCUGGUUAUCUUAGUUGGAAAAGCAUGAGACUUUUAAUCUCUGGAUUGUGGGUUUGAGCCCCAUACUAGGUC